GUAAUCACUUGUCUUCUAAAUAAAGACCUGUAUGAACGGCUAAAUGAGGACAAACCUGUCUCUUAUAACCAAUCAGUGAAACUGAUCCACCAGUACAAAAGCUGGUAUAAUAACAUAAGACGAGAAGACCCUGUGGAGCUUAAGACAAACACUAUUUACCAGAUAUAGUUGAAGUCUUCAGUUGGGGCGACUUCUGAACAAAACAAAACUUCCGAGCAGAGAUCCACACCCUCUUACUAAGGCAAACGAGCCUAAAGAAGAACUGACCCGGCCACGCCGAUCGACUAACCAAGUUACCCCAUGGAUAACAGCGCUAUCUUCUUUGAGAGUCCCUAUCGACAAGAAGGUUUACUACCUCUAUUUUGGAUCAUGACACCCAGGUGGUGCAUCCGCUACCAAAGGUUCGUUUGUUCAACGAUUAACAUU
Molecule: ribosomal RNA, 426 nt
Filed under: Eutropis clivicola (Inger's mabuya)
Lineage: Eukaryota; Metazoa; Chordata; Lepidosauria; Squamata; Scincidae
Description: partial 16S ribosomal RNA
Rfam family: Bacterial large subunit ribosomal RNA
Source: RNAcentral